CACACAAACAUUGGUUUAUGUGCUCUGUGCAGAACUGUAAGCACGCGGCUCACCAAAGAACAUUACUUUACUUAAAUACACUCUUAAUUCUCUCUCUUAGGGUUAAACUUACCCUUUUCCUACCGCUAAUACUGCCAUGGCUUCUUCAUUUCUUUUGAACUGCUACGACUUCGUUCCAGGUUUAUCUUCUCCCAGGAGUCAUCAUCAUACAAUGGAGACGAUGUCAAGAACUGGUCGGUUAAUAAUACCUCAUGAUGUAUCAAGCUUCUCGCUGGUUUCGGUGAGUUGAUGGUAUGCCUAUGGUUAGGUAGGGAAUGAAGCAAAUGGUCCGUGCUUGUUGUUGUAGGAUAGAUGUAUAAAAUUCAAUGUCUAUCUUCUUCUCUUCUGUAUUUUUAUAUUAUUUGAAUUCUUGAAAAUUUCAGUCGUUUCUUGAUUCUAAUUAUUAACUUAACUCCUUUACAAAA
This is a long non-coding RNA of Eutrema salsugineum, 464 nucleotides long. RefSeq lists it as uncharacterized. NCBI's taxonomy places the organism in Eukaryota, Viridiplantae, Streptophyta, Magnoliopsida, Brassicales, Brassicaceae. The transcript has 2 exons. The record is from RefSeq and is a predicted model, not a curated record.